GUGCCUAAUACAUGCAAGUCGAACGAACUCUGGUAUUGAUUGGUGCUUGCAUCAUGAUUUACAUUUGAGUGAGUGGCGAACUGGUGAGUAACACGUGGGAAACCUGCCCAGAAGCGGGGGAUAACACCUGGAAACAGAUGCUAAUACCGCAUAACAACUUGGACCGCAUGGUCCGAGUUUGAAAGAUGGCUUCGGCUAUCACUUUUGGAUGGUCCCGCGGCGUAUUAGCUAGAUGGUGGGGUAACGGCUCACCAUGGCAAUGAUACGUAGCCGACCUGAGAGGGUAAUCGGCCACAUUGGGACUGAGACACGGCCCAAACUCCUACGGGAGGCAGCAGUAGGGAAUCUUCCACAAUGGACGAAAGUCUGAUGGAGCAACGCCGCGUGAGUGAAGAAGGGUUUCGGCUCGUAAAACUCUGUUGUUAAAGAAGAACAUAUCUGAGAGUAACUGUUCAGGUAUUGACGGUAUUUAACCAGAAAGCCACGGCUAACUACGUGCCAGCAGCCGCGGUAAUACGUAGGUGGCAAGCGUUGUCCGGAUUUAUUGGGCGUAAAGCGAGCGCAGGCGGUUUUUUAAGUCUGAUGUGAAAGCCUUCGGCUCAACCGAAGAAGUGCAUCGGAAACUGGGAAACUUGAGUGCAGAAGAGGACAGUGGAAC
This 658-nucleotide ribosomal RNA is filed under the name Lactiplantibacillus plantarum. Its description in RNAcentral is "bacterial SSU rRNA". It matches the Rfam family "Bacterial small subunit ribosomal RNA", at positions 44 to 667 of the family's 1533-position model. Lineage: Bacteria; Bacillati; Bacillota; Bacilli; Lactobacillales; Lactobacillaceae. The record is from RNAcentral.